Molecule: ribosomal RNA, 353 nt
Filed under: Klebsiella quasipneumoniae subsp. similipneumoniae
Lineage: Bacteria; Pseudomonadati; Pseudomonadota; Gammaproteobacteria; Enterobacterales; Enterobacteriaceae
Description: partial 23S ribosomal RNA
Rfam family: Bacterial large subunit ribosomal RNA
Source: RNAcentral
UGAAACAUCUAAGUACCCCGAGGAAAAGAAAUCAACCGAGAUUCCCCCAGUAGCGGCGAGCGAACGGGGAGCAGCCCAGAGUCUGAAUCAGCUUGUGUGUUAGUGGAACGGUCUGGAAAGUCCGACGGUACAGGGUGAUAGUCCCGUACACCAAAAUGCACAGGUUGUGAACUCGAAGAGUAGGGCGGGACACGUGGUAUCCUGUCUGAAUAUGGGGGGACCAUCCUCCAAGGCUAAAUACUCCUGACUGACCGAUAGUGAACCAGUACCGUGAGGGAAAGGCGAAAAGAACCCCGGCGAGGGGAGUGAAAAAGAACCUGAAACCGUGUACGUACAAGCAGUGGGAGCACCUU